RNAcentral lists this ribosomal RNA (485 nucleotides) under Morchella esculenta. RNAcentral describes it as "partial large subunit ribosomal RNA". It matches the Rfam family "Eukaryotic large subunit ribosomal RNA", at positions 151 to 648 of the family's 3401-position model. Lineage: Eukaryota; Fungi; Ascomycota; Pezizomycetes; Pezizales; Morchellaceae. The record is from RNAcentral.
UUGUGAGGCAUCUCCGGGUAGGGCGCCGGCCUAAGUUCCUUGGAACAGGACGUCAUAGAGGGUGAGAAUCCCGUGCUUGGCUGGCUGUCCCCGUCCAUGUGAGGUGUCUUCGACGAGUCGAGUUGUUUGGGAAUGCAGCUCAAAAUGGGUGGUAAAUUUCAUCUAAAGCUAAAUAUUGGUGGGAGACCGAUAGCGCACAAGUAGAGUGAUCGAAAGAUGAAAAGCACUUUGAAAAUAGAGUUAAAAAGUACGUGAAAUUGUUGAAAGGGAAGCGCUUGAGACCAGACUUCGGUGGGGAGUGAUCAGCUGUCCUUCUGGGCGGUGCACUUGCUCCCCUCCGGGCCAGCAUCGGUUGGGACGGCGGGAUAAAGGUCCCGGGAAUGUGGCUCCUCUCGGGGAGUGUUAUAGCCCGGGUGAAUGCCGCCAGCCCCGACCGAGGACCGCGCCUUCGGGCUAGGAUGCUUGGCAUAAUGGUCUUCAGCGAC